Molecule: ribosomal RNA, 434 nt
Filed under: uncultured Lachnospiraceae bacterium
Lineage: Bacteria; Bacillati; Bacillota; Clostridia; Lachnospirales; Lachnospiraceae
Description: partial 16S ribosomal RNA
Rfam family: Bacterial small subunit ribosomal RNA
Source: RNAcentral
ACGGAAGGCAGCAGUGGGGAAUAUUGGACAAUGGGGGAAACCCUGAUCCAGCGACGCCGCGUGAGUGAAGAAGUAUUUCGGUAUGUAAAGCUCUAUCAGCAAGGAAGAAAAUGACGGUACUUGACUAAGAAGCCCCGGCUAACUACGUGCCAGCAGCCGCGGUAAUCCGUAGGGGGCAAGCGUUAUCCGGAUUUACUGGGUGUAAAGGGAGCGUAGACGGCAUAGCAAGUCUGAAGUGAAAUGCAUGGGCUCAACCCAUGAACUGCUUUGGAAACUGUUAAGCUAGAGUGCAGGAGAGGUAAGUGGAAUUCCUAGUGUAGCGGUGAAAUGCGUAGAUAUUAGGAGGAACACCAGUGGCGAAGGCGGCUUACUGGACUGUAACUGACGUUGAGGCUCGAAAGCGUGGGGAGCAAACAGGAUUAGAUACCCUGGUA